CAGAAACAGGGACGACUGAUGGGCCCCCCCCACCCCUCGAACAAGUGACAAAAGCGAUCACUCCGCUUUAGGAAGACGCACUUAAAUGUUCCUUUCGCCUCGUUGCAUCAGUGAUUUCCUUCACGUAAACAUAAACCGUUAGAUGUGAAUGAAGAUCACGAGCUGAAGGUGGGCCUACAGUGAGAGUAGGAAAGGAGAAGAUAUGAUCCAGUUGUCUCUGAUGAAAAGACCAAGUCUACCAGUAAAACGAAGGAUUAUCAGACAAUGUAACCUGUGUAUACUGCCAUCACUUUGCUGUCCAUGAUGCAUGAGAUGUUGAACAACUUCAGUGCAGAGACUACACCUAAACUGCCAUGAUGACCAUCAUAUACAGUCAGAAAUGUCCUUCCUCUAGACACGUGUGAAAGUUAGCCACAGAUGACCACUCCUGCAUGAUGUCAUCUCAGUCCACUGACCUAACAGCUCUGAAGGACUUGGAUCUUGAAGUUGCAUCACAAGUUAAGGGGAAAGAAUGAGAAAGAACAAUGAAAACAGGCACUGCGCCCUACUUGC
Molecule: long non-coding RNA, 552 nt
Organism: Cebus imitator (Panamanian white-faced capuchin)
Lineage: Eukaryota; Metazoa; Chordata; Mammalia; Primates; Cebidae
Exons: 3
Source: RefSeq, a predicted model, not a curated record